UUGCACCUGAUGGCGAGUGGCGAACGGGUGAGUAAUGCAUCGGAACGUGCCCAGUCGUGGGGGAUAACGCAGCGAAAGUUGUGCUAAUACCGCAUACGAUCUAUGGAUGAAAGCGGGGGACCUUCGGGCCUCGCGCGAUUGGAGCGGCCGAUGUUAGAUUAGGUAGUUGGUGGGGUAAAGGCUCACCAAGCCAACGAUCUAUAGCUGGUCUGAGAGGACGACCAGCCACACUGGAACUGAGACACGGUCCAGACUCCUACGGGAGGCAGCAGUGGGGAAUUUUGGACAAUGAGCGAAAGCCUGAUCCAGCAAUACCGCGUGCAGGAAGAAGGCCCUCGGGUUGUAAACUGCUUUUGUACGGAACGAAACGGCGCGCUCUAAUAAAGUGCGCUAAUGACGGUACCGUAAGAAUAAGCACCGGCUAACUACGUGCCAGCAGCCGCGGUAAUACGUAGGGUGCAAGCGUCAAUCGGAAUUACUGGGCGUAAAGCGUGCGCAGGCGGUUUUGUAAGACAGGCGUGAAGUCCCCGGGCUCAACCUGGGAAUUGCGCUUGUGACUGCAAGGCUAGAGUACGGUAGAGGGGGGUAGAAUUCCGCGUGUAGCAGUGAAAUGCGUAGAUAUGCGGAGGAACACCGAUGGCGAAGGCAGCCCCCUGGACCUGUACUGACGCUCAUGCACGAAAGCGUGGGGAGCAAACAGGAUUAGAUACCCUGGUAG
Molecule: ribosomal RNA, 718 nt
Filed under: uncultured Comamonadaceae bacterium
Lineage: Bacteria; Pseudomonadati; Pseudomonadota; Betaproteobacteria; Burkholderiales; Comamonadaceae
Description: bacterial SSU rRNA
Rfam family: Bacterial small subunit ribosomal RNA
Source: RNAcentral